RNAcentral lists this ribosomal RNA (482 nucleotides) under uncultured bacterium. RNAcentral describes it as "partial 16S ribosomal RNA". It matches the Rfam family "Bacterial small subunit ribosomal RNA", at positions 30 to 507 of the family's 1533-position model. The record is from RNAcentral.
AUUGAACGCUGGCGGCAUGAUUUACACAUGCAAGUCGAACGGUAACAGGCCGCAAGGUGCUGACGAGUGGCGAACGGGUGAGUAAUGCAUCGGAACGUGCCCAGUCGUGGGGGAUAACUACUCGAAAGAGUAGCUAAUACCGCAUACGAUCUAUGGAUGAAAGCGGGGGACCGUAAGGCCUCGCGCGAUUGGAGCGGCCGAUGUCAGAUUAGGUAGUUGGUGGGGUAAAGGCUCACCAAGCCAACGAUCUGUAGCUGGUCUGAGAGGACGACCAGCCACACUGGGACUGAGACACGGCCCAGACUCCUACGGGAGGCAGCAGUGGGGAGUUUUGGACAAAGGGCGCAAGCCUGAUCCAGCAAUGCCGCGUGCAGGAAGAAGGCCUUCGGGUUGUAAACUGCUUUUGUACGGAACGAAACGGCUCUGGUUAAUACCCGGGGCUAAUGACGGUACCGUAAGAAUAAGCACCGGCUAACUACGUG